This 447-nucleotide ribosomal RNA is filed under the name uncultured bacterium. Its description in RNAcentral is "bacterial SSU rRNA". It matches the Rfam family "Bacterial small subunit ribosomal RNA", at positions 355 to 825 of the family's 1533-position model. The record is from RNAcentral.
UGGGGAAUCUUGGACAAUGGGCGCAAGCCUGAUCCAGCCAUGCCGCGUGAGUGAAGAAGGUCUUCGGAUUGUAAAGCUCUUUUACCAGGGACGAUAAUGACGGUACCUGGAGAAUAAGCCCCGGCAAACUUCGUGCCAGCAGCCGCGGUAAUACGAAGGGGGCUAGCGUUGUUCGGAAUUACUGGGCGUAAAGCGCACGUAGGCGGACUAUUAAGUCAGGGGUGAAAUCCCGGAGCUCAACUCCGGAACUGCCUUUGAUACUGGUAGCCUAGAGAUCGGAAGAGGUUAGUGGAAUUCCCAGUGUAGAGGUGAAAUUCGUAGAUAUUGGGAAGAACACCAGUGGCGAAGGCGGCUAACUGGUCCGAUACUGACGCUGAGGUGCGAAAGCGUGGGGAGCAAACAGGAUUAGAUACCCAGGUAGUCCCUGAGCGGGCUGGCAAGGCGCAU